Non-coding RNA from Ictidomys tridecemlineatus (thirteen-lined ground squirrel), 72 nucleotides. The record is from Rfam. NCBI's taxonomy places the organism in Eukaryota, Metazoa, Chordata, Mammalia, Rodentia, Sciuridae.
AGGGUUGUGGCUCAGUGGUAGAGCACUCGCCUAGCAUGCUUGAGGCUCUGAGUUUGAUCCUCAGCACCACCU